CCCCGCCAUACCUUCUUCCAAAAAACCAAAAAGGCUCCAAAUUCCUCCCCCGUGACCCAGAACAGAAAAGAUGAAGAAGAGCUCAUCGUGGAAGAUCUGGAAGAGGGGUCAGCAACCUUUCCCAUCCCUCAGACCAUGUGGUAGGCAGGACUAUAUUUUGGGGAGGAGGGUGAACGAAUUCCUAUACCCCACAAAUAACCCAGAGAUGCAUUUCAAAUAAAAGGACACAUUUUACUCAUGGAAAAACACGCUCAUUCCCGGGCCAGAUUGA
Non-coding RNA from Zootoca vivipara (common lizard), 271 nucleotides. The record is from RefSeq and is a predicted model, not a curated record. NCBI's taxonomy places the organism in Eukaryota, Metazoa, Chordata, Lepidosauria, Squamata, Lacertidae.